CAUUAAAUGACUGAAAGCAAGUAAUGGUCUCUUAAACCAUCUUAUAGUAAAUUAGCACUUAUUUUUAAUGA
RNAcentral lists this transfer RNA (71 nucleotides) under Omphisa fuscidentalis (bamboo borer). RNAcentral describes it as "tRNA-Lys". The record is from RNAcentral. Lineage: Eukaryota; Metazoa; Arthropoda; Insecta; Lepidoptera; Crambidae.